ACAGUACAAACUGAACAGGCCACAGCUUUCCCCGUGGGAAGGCAGGGAGCCGGGCCGCCUGGGGCGGCAGCAGAUGAGACCGGUACAUCUGUGGGACAGU
RNAcentral lists this non-coding RNA (100 nucleotides) under chicken gut metagenome. Its description in RNAcentral is "NiCo riboswitch". It matches the Rfam family "NiCo (Nickel/Cobalt) riboswitch aptamer". The record is from RNAcentral.